GGGGAACAGAGUAAUAGGGCAUCUGCUUUGCAUUCAGAAGGUCCCAGGUUCAAUCCCUGGCAUCUCCA
Podarcis lilfordi (Lilford's wall lizard) is the source of this 68-nucleotide non-coding RNA. Lineage: Eukaryota; Metazoa; Chordata; Lepidosauria; Squamata; Lacertidae. The record is from the annotation of a GenBank genome assembly.